RNAcentral lists this ribosomal RNA (229 nucleotides) under uncultured bacterium. RNAcentral describes it as "partial 16S ribosomal RNA". It matches the Rfam family "Bacterial small subunit ribosomal RNA", at positions 568 to 796 of the family's 1533-position model. The record is from RNAcentral.
UCUGUAGGCGGAAUGGUAAGUUGGGCGUGAAAGCUCCGGGCUCAACCCGGAGAGGUCGUUCAAUACUGCCAAACUAGAGGGCAUCAGAGGAGCGUGGAAUUUCCGGUGUAGCGGUAAAAUGCGCAGAUAUCGGAAGGAACACCAAUGGCGAAGGCAGCGCUCUGGGAUGAACCUGACGCUAAGAGACGAAAGCUAGGGGAGCGAACAGGAUUAGAUACCCUGGUAGUCC